RNAcentral lists this ribosomal RNA (226 nucleotides) under uncultured bacterium. Its description in RNAcentral is "partial 16S ribosomal RNA". It matches the Rfam family "Bacterial small subunit ribosomal RNA", at positions 524 to 743 of the family's 1533-position model. The record is from RNAcentral.
UACGGAGGGUGCGAGCGUUGUCCGGAAUCAUUGGGCGUAAAGGGCGCGUAGGUGGCCACUUCAAGCGUGCGGUGAAAGUCGGGGGCUCAACCCCUGAUCGGCCGUGCGAACUGGGGGGGCUGGAGCACUGUAGAGGCAGGCGGAAUUCCGCGUGUAGCAGUGAAAUGACGUAGAUAUGCGGAGGAACACCGAUGGCGAAGGCAAUCCCCAUGGGCUUCGUACGUGA